AACGAACGCUGGCGGCAUGCCUAACACAUGCAAGUCGAACGAGACCUUCGGGUCUAGUGGCGCACGGGUGCGUAACGCGUGGGAACCUGCCCUUAGGUUCGGAAUAACUCCCCGAAAGGGGUGCUAAUACCGGUUAAUGUCUUCGGACCAAAGAUUUAUCGCCUUUGGAUGGGCCCGCGUUGGAUUAGCUAGUUGGUAGGGUAAAAGCCUACCAAGGCGACGAUCCAUAGCUGGUCUGAGAGGAUGAUAAGCCACACUGGGACUGCGACACGGCCCAGACUCCUACGGGAGGCAGCAGUGGGGAAUAUUGGACAAUGGGCGAAAGCCUGAUCCAGCAAUGCCGCGUGAGUGAUGAAGGCCUUAGGGUUGUAAAGCUCUUUUACCCGGGAUGAUAAUGACAGUACCGGGAGAAUAAGCUCCGGCUAACUCCGUG
RNAcentral lists this ribosomal RNA (433 nucleotides) under uncultured bacterium. Its description in RNAcentral is "partial 16S ribosomal RNA". It matches the Rfam family "Bacterial small subunit ribosomal RNA", at positions 29 to 507 of the family's 1533-position model. The record is from RNAcentral.